GAUAAAAUAAAUUAUUGACUCAAAGGAUUGCAUGCAGACACAUACACACAGAGACAUAUGCAGAACACACAGAGAUACACACAGAGACAUA
Sapajus apella (tufted capuchin) is the source of this 91-nucleotide long non-coding RNA. RefSeq lists it as uncharacterized. The record is from RefSeq and is a predicted model, not a curated record. The transcript has 3 exons. NCBI's taxonomy places the organism in Eukaryota, Metazoa, Chordata, Mammalia, Primates, Cebidae.